GACGAACGCUGGCGGCGUGCUUAACACAUGCAAGUCGAACGGUAAGGCCCUUCGGGGUACACGAGUGGCGAACGGGUGAGUAACACGUGGGUGAUCUGCCCUGCACUUUGGGAUAAGCCUGGGAAACUGGGUCUAAUACCGGCUUGGACCAUAGCAUUCAUGUGCGGGGGUGGAAAGCUUUUGCGGUGUGGGAUGGGCCCGCGGCCUAUCAGCUGGUUGGUGGGGUGAUGGCCUACCAAGGCGGCGAAGGGUAGCCGGCCUGAGAGGGGGUCCGGCCACAAGGGGACUGAGGGACGGAGCAGACGGCUACGGGAGGCAGCAGUGGGGAAGAUUGCAAAUGGGCGCGAGCGUGAGGCGGCGACGCCGGGUGGGGGAUGACGGCCUGUGGGGUGUGAACCUCUUUCGGUAGGGACGAAGCGCAAGUGACGGUACCUAUAGAAGAAGCACCGGCCAACUACGUGCCAGCCGCCGCGGUAA
Molecule: ribosomal RNA, 477 nt
Filed under: uncultured bacterium
Lineage: Bacteria
Description: partial 16S ribosomal RNA
Rfam family: Bacterial small subunit ribosomal RNA
Source: RNAcentral